UCAAAGUCAUUGGCAGCAGACUCGGUAGCUAAUUGCGCAGCACAUCGCGCCAGAGGCCCCGGGUCCGCUCUCCACGAGCACAGUCUCAUCAGUUUGACCUCGGAUCAGGUAGGGAUACCCGCUGAACUUAAGCAUAUCAAUAAGCGGAGGAAAAGAAACCAACAGGGAUUGCCCUAGUAACGGCGAGUGAAGCGGCAACAGCUCAAAUUUGAAAUCUGGCUCCUUCCGGGGUCCGAGUUGUAAUUUGUAGAGGGUGCUUUGGCGUCGGCCAUGGUCUAAGUUCCUUGGAACAGGGCGUCACAGAGGGUGAGAAUCCCGUACGUGGCCGCUGGCCUUCGCCAUGUAAAGCCCCUUCGACGAGUCGAGUUGUUUGGGAAUGCAGCUCUAAAUGGGAGGUAAAUUUCUUCUAAAGCUAAAUAUUGGCCAGAGACCGAUAGCGCACAAGUAGAGUGAUCGAAAGAUGAAAAGCACUUUGGAAAGAGAGUCAAAAAGCACGUGAAAUUGUUGAAAGGGAAGCGCUUGCAGCCAGACUUGCUCGUAGUUGCUCAUCCGGGUUUCGACCCGGUGCACUCUUCUGCGAGCAGGCCAGCAUCAGUUCAGGCGGUCGGAUAAAGGUCCCGGGAAUGUGGCUC
Molecule: ribosomal RNA, 632 nt
Filed under: fungal endophyte
Lineage: Eukaryota; Fungi
Description: eukaryotic LSU rRNA
Rfam family: Eukaryotic large subunit ribosomal RNA (bases 95-632)
Source: RNAcentral